AGCCAUAGCCAUACCACCGUGAACGCGCUGGAUCUCAUCUGAUCUCAGAAGCUAAGCAGGUUGGGCCUGUUUAGUACUUGGAUGGGAGAAAAAUUAGCCAGGCAUGGUGGUAC
Molecule: ribosomal RNA, 113 nt
Filed under: Microcebus murinus (gray mouse lemur)
Lineage: Eukaryota; Metazoa; Chordata; Mammalia; Primates; Cheirogaleidae
Source: RNAcentral